GAUGAAGAACGUAGUGAAAUGCGAUAAGUAGUGUGAAUUGCAGAAUUCAGUGAAUCAUCGAAUCUUUGAACGCACAUUGCGGCCAUAGGUAUUCCUUUGGCCAUGCCUGUUCGAGCGUCAUUUACACCCUCAAGCCUAGCUUGGUGUUGGCGUCUGUCCCGCCGUUUUCGCGCGCGGACUCGCCUCAAAGUCAUUGGCGGCGGUCGUGCCGGCCCCCUCGCGCAGCACAUUUGCGCUUCUCGGAGGCCCGGCGGAUCCGCGCUCCAGCAAGACCUUUCACGACUUGACCUCGGAUCAGGUAGGGAUACCCGCUGAACUUAAGCAUAUCAAUAAGCGGAGGA
RNAcentral lists this unclassified non-coding RNA (341 nucleotides) under soil metagenome. RNAcentral's name for it is "partial contains 5.8S ribosomal RNA, internal transcribed spacer 2, and large subunit ribosomal RNA". The stretch from base 1 to 120 matches the Rfam family "5.8S ribosomal RNA", at positions 35 to 154 of the family's 154-position model. The record is from RNAcentral.